Molecule: ribosomal RNA, 435 nt
Filed under: Paramphisopus palustris
Lineage: Eukaryota; Metazoa; Arthropoda; Malacostraca; Isopoda; Amphisopidae
Description: partial 16S ribosomal RNA
Rfam family: Bacterial large subunit ribosomal RNA
Source: RNAcentral
GCUCACUGAAAAUUAAAGAGCCGCAGUAUACUAACUGUGCUAAGGUAGCAAAAUAAUUUGUCUCCUAAUUAGAGACCAGAAUGAAAGGAGUGACGAAAAUAUACUAUCUCAUUUAACUAUUUAAAAAUUAGCUUUUAGGUCAAAAGACCUAAAUAACUUAGCAAGACGAUAAGACCCUAUAAAACUUAACUUUUUAAACCUUUGAUACAACAAAAAAGAUCCAAAAAAGUUUUACUGGGGCAGUAUUUAUAUAACUAUUAACUAUACUAAACAAAACAUUUAUUUAUGAAAAAUAAAUCUUAAAUUAAAUAUAAAACCAAGUUACUUUAGGGAUAACAGCAUAAUACUUUUUAAGAGUUCUUAUCAACAAAAGUGAUUAUGACCUCGAUGUUGAAUUGGGAAUACAUUAAAAAGCAGCCAUUUUAAAUGAAAGUC